AUGCGAACACAAGGAUUUAACUUCAGUGAUGAAUUGUACCACAUGGGGAAUACAUGCAUAGGAGUGCAGAGAGAGCAUGCCCUAGAUUUGAUAGACACAAACAUCAAGUUGCAGCAAAUUAAGAAGCAGAAUGAGGACAGUUUAGUUUUGAACUUGUUAGUCAGGGCCACAUCAUUUGUCAGUACUGCAUAUCAUGUUAGUGAGCAAAAAUUAGCCACAGUUUUAUAUGAAGAACAUGUUGUGUAUGAUCUGAGAGAUCCUCCUGUGCUUGCUGUUAAUGAUCAUGGUGUUGUUUAUGAGAGUCAAAGCAGCAACAGUAGUGCAGUAGUACAACCUGCUGGUAUGUGCACACAAGAGAGAAGAAAUGUCAGCAAGAGGAAGCUCAAAUCUGUGAUGGAAGAAGAGGAAGAGGAGGGAUAUAAGAGUACUGAUGACUCUCAAGGGGCAUAUGACAGUGACAACAACCCUUUCUGCAUGAAGAAGUACAGGAUUGUUGAAGACACAGAGAUAAUAGAGGGAAAGAGGCUAGCAGAUGCAGAACUAGAAGAGGAUGCAGAUUCAGAUGAAGAAACAGAUGAAGAUUCAGAUAAGGAACAGCUACACUAUGAGGGUGACACUGAGGUUGAGGAGUUGUUUGAUAUUGAGGAGGAUGAGGAGGAAGAUUCUGAGAAGGAGAAGGAACCACCCAUGAAAGCAGCUGUUAAAAAGUGGAAAAAGCUGCCAGUUAGGAGAGGGCCCACCACUAGGACACAUUCUAAUGUGUUAGAGGACUUGAAACCAGAUUUCAGACCAUCAUCAGAUGAAGAAGAUACUGGGUUGCUAUUGGAUGGUGAAGAUGAUGAAUUUGAGCCACUAGCAUUUGUCCUACCAAAAGGAAGGAAGAGUAGGGCCAUGAAAAGGCCAGCAAGGAUAUGGUAUAAUGAAAAACUGGAGCAACCACAUCAACAGUUAUGUAUGCACAUGUGUUUCAAAAAUCAGCAACAAUUCAGAGAUGCUCUGUUGAGCUUGCACAUUACACAGGCAAGAAAUUUUAGGUAUCAUAGAAACUCAGACAAAAGGAUAAUUGUUUGCUGCAAACAAGAGCAUUGUUAG
Molecule: ribosomal RNA, 1092 nt
Filed under: Triticum aestivum (bread wheat)
Lineage: Eukaryota; Viridiplantae; Streptophyta; Magnoliopsida; Poales; Poaceae
Description: partial small subunit ribosomal RNA
Source: RNAcentral